UGAGUUGGGCAAUUAUUGUCUCUUCAUCACAUUUUAAACUUGUGAAAUUGACGUGAGUUAGACAUUUUACAAAAACCGAAGCAUGUCAGGUCUGAUUUUCCAAAAAACCAAGCAUGUCGGCUUUGACUUUUUGGACUUUGGCUUGGGUGGGUACUUUUAUAAGACAAGUUAUAAAAGUGGGUACUUUCGCCUAUUCACAGU
Molecule: long non-coding RNA, 201 nt
Filed under: Salvia miltiorrhiza (redroot sage)
Lineage: Eukaryota; Viridiplantae; Streptophyta; Magnoliopsida; Lamiales; Lamiaceae
Description: long non-coding RNA (SMIL_LNC004437)
Source: RNAcentral